Molecule: small nucleolar RNA, 138 nt
Organism: Callithrix jacchus (white-tufted-ear marmoset)
Lineage: Eukaryota; Metazoa; Chordata; Mammalia; Primates; Cebidae
Product: small nucleolar RNA SNORA43
Source: RefSeq, a predicted model, not a curated record
GCUGUCCUGGACCUACCAGCAGCACAGAUGCAGAUGCUCUGCUCUGCCUGUAACAUCGGGGAAAAGUCAAAGUGGUUAUUUCCACACUCAAUAUUCGGAAAACAGUAAACAACAAGAAUGGAGAAUAGCCUGACAUUU